AGGUGCAGGACAUCAGGACGAAAUGUGGGACACCAGAGGAGCGCUCUGACAACAGCACUUGAGCAGUCCGCGUCUGCCCGCGCCACCCCACUCCUCCCGCUGCUGUUAUCUCAGCUUGGACUCGGUCCAAGGACACUGGAUCCGCAGGACUCCGGACUGGCGGAAGGAGUCGUUCGGUUUGAGCACUGCGGUUCGUAGGCAUUACUUGUUUGCGGUUUUUAUUAUAUCAUUCUCGUGUCAAACGGGCUCAGCAUUGUCACAUCCUUAGCCGCUGCUGACGAUGAUGAUGCUGCUGCUCUGCCAGCUCAGCGUCCUGUCAUUCCAGAUCUCACCCAUUGCCGCCACCCCCAUCCGCAUCCACAUCGGCUCCGCUCGCUCUUCAAUGCCCAAUCCUCAAUCCCCAUCUAAGUCGCACGGUUCGCUCUUGUCCUUCAUCUCAAGCUGCCAGUUAUUACACAUUGCCAGCGUCUUAAUGUCGGGAUUCUCGGACGGGGACUUCAAGCAGCAUUUUCUGGUGAUGAGCCAGUUGGAGCCGGGCAGCUCGACCCGAGUCCUGCGCCCAAAACUCGCCAACAGGUGGCGGGCCUGGCUCAAGUGGAUCUGUGGGAAGCGAUGGGCUAGGGGAUGCCUUUUGUUU
Non-coding RNA from Drosophila melanogaster (fruit fly), 637 nucleotides. NCBI's taxonomy places the organism in Eukaryota, Metazoa, Arthropoda, Insecta, Diptera, Drosophilidae. The record is from Ensembl.